UACGGAGGGUGCGAGCGUUAUUCGGAAUGACUGGGCGUAAAGCGCGCGUAGGCAGCUUUUUAAGUCCGAUGUGAAAGCCCCGAACUCAAUUUGGGAAGUGCAUUGGAUACUGAGGAGCUAGAGUACAGGAGAGGAGAGCGGAAUUCCAGGUGUAGAGGUGAAAUUCGUAGAUAUCUGGAGGAACACCGGUGGCGAAGGCGGCAUUCUGGACCGAUAUUGACGCUGAGGAGCGAAAGCCAGGGGAGCAAACGGG
RNAcentral lists this ribosomal RNA (253 nucleotides) under uncultured bacterium. Its description in RNAcentral is "partial 16S ribosomal RNA". It matches the Rfam family "Bacterial small subunit ribosomal RNA", at positions 524 to 776 of the family's 1533-position model. The record is from RNAcentral.